RNAcentral lists this microRNA (21 nucleotides) under Cordylochernes scorpioides. Lineage: Eukaryota; Metazoa; Arthropoda; Arachnida; Pseudoscorpiones; Chernetidae. The record is from RNAcentral.
CCCAACUAUAUCGGCGAGGCU